UUUUUCUUUAUCUAUU
This 16-nucleotide small RNA is filed under the name Arabidopsis thaliana (thale cress). RNAcentral's name for it is "ATSL286100". Lineage: Eukaryota; Viridiplantae; Streptophyta; Magnoliopsida; Brassicales; Brassicaceae. The record is from RNAcentral.